Molecule: long non-coding RNA, 706 nt
Organism: Protopterus annectens (West African lungfish)
Lineage: Eukaryota; Metazoa; Chordata; Ceratodontiformes; Protopteridae
Exons: 3
Source: RefSeq, a predicted model, not a curated record
AGGGAUGCUUUUACAUAUGUGCAAGAGAGAAGAUUUUGUAUAAAUCCCAAUGCUGGAUUUGUUCAUCAGCUUCAGGAGUAUGAAGCUAUCUAUUUAGCAAAAUUGACCAUCAAGAUGAUGUCGCCAUUACAGCUAGGAAGAUCUUUAUCUCUUCAGGGUAGUACAACAGGUAGUUUAAAAAGAACAUUUGAAGAUGAUGAAGAUUUUGGAAACAUGCAAGUUGCUGCUGCACAUGAUGGAUAGUUACACAUUGUUUAAGAAUGGACAAAAUUCAUAACAGGAGGAGUACAAAUGAAUGGGAACAAUUUGAUGAAAACGAUUAAAUCUGAAACUGCAGAUAACCCUCUUUGCAAUAUACCUGAAUUUAUAGAGGUGUUCAUGCUUAAAAUGAGCGGAAAAGUGGCAUUAAGGGAUGUGCAAGACGAUGGUUGAUCUCAUGGCACUGAUUGUUUUACUUUUACUUUUUUUACAUUUUACAUUUUUAUGAUAAUUAAACUGUUUGAAUAUGCAGAGGGAUAUUAUUGCAAUAAUGCACUUUUCAUACUUGAACUUUCAUUGUAUUUGUAUGAUAGGAAAUUACUACCAUAAAAGAACUUAAAGAAACUGUGAGGUUUUGUUAAAAAUUCACAGCAAUGUAAUUUAUAAUGCACAGUUUUCAGUAAAAAAAAUGUACAGUAUUAAACUAUAUUAGUUUUUGCAUCUUUAA